Molecule: ribosomal RNA, 225 nt
Filed under: uncultured Thorsellia sp.
Lineage: Bacteria; Pseudomonadati; Pseudomonadota; Gammaproteobacteria; Enterobacterales; Thorselliaceae
Description: partial 16S ribosomal RNA
Rfam family: Bacterial small subunit ribosomal RNA
Source: RNAcentral
CAUGCAGGCGGUUAGACAAGUCAGAUGUGAAAUCCCCGCGCUUAACGUGGGCAUUGCAUUUGAAACUGUUUGGCUAGAGUUCUGUAGAGGGGGGUAGAAUUCCAGGUGUAGCGGUGAAAUGCGUAGAGAUCUGGAGGAAUACCGAUGGCGAAGGCAGCCAUCUGGCCUAACACUGACGCUGAGGUGCGAAAGCAUAAGGAGCAAACAGGAUUAGAUACCCCUGUA